AACGAACGCUGGCGGCAUGCCUAACACAUGCAAGUCGAACGAGACCUUCGGGCCUAGUGGCGCACGGGGGCGUAACGCGUGGGAACCUGCCCUUAGGUUCGGAAUAACUCCCCGAAAGGGGUGCUAAUACCGGAUAAUGUCUUCGGACCAAAGAUUUAUCGCCUUUGGGUGGGCCCGCGUUGGAUUAGCUGGUUGGUAGGGGAAAAGCCUACCAAGGCGACGAUCCAUAGCUGGUCUGAGAGGAUGAUCAGCCACACUGGGACUGAGACACGGCCCAGACUCCUACGGGAGGCAGCAGUGGGGAAUAUUGGACAAUGGGCGAAAGCCUGAUCCAGCAAUGCCGCGUGAGUGAUGAAGGCCUUAGGGUUGUAAAGCUCUUUUACCCGGGAUGAUAAUGACAGUACCGGGAGAAUAAGCACCGGCUAACUCCGUG
Molecule: ribosomal RNA, 433 nt
Filed under: uncultured bacterium
Lineage: Bacteria
Description: partial 16S ribosomal RNA
Rfam family: Bacterial small subunit ribosomal RNA
Source: RNAcentral